This 484-nucleotide ribosomal RNA is filed under the name uncultured bacterium. RNAcentral describes it as "partial 16S ribosomal RNA". It matches the Rfam family "Bacterial small subunit ribosomal RNA", at positions 30 to 507 of the family's 1533-position model. The record is from RNAcentral.
AUUGAACGCUGGCGGCAGGCCUAACACAUGCAAGUCGAGCGGAUGAAGGGAGCUUGCUCCUGGAUUCAGCGGCGGACGGGUGAGUAAUGCCUAGGAAUCUGCCUGGUAGUGGGGGAUAACGACCGGAAACGGGCGCUAAUACCGCAUACGUCCUGAGGGAGAAAGUGGGGGAUCUUCGGACCACACGCUAUCAGAUGAGCCUAGGUCGGAUUAGCUAGUUGGUGGGGUAAAGGCCUACCAAGGCGACGAUCCGUAACUGGUCUGAGAGGAUGAUCAGUCACACUGGAACUGAGACACGGUCCAGACUCCUACGGGAGGCAGCAGUGGGGAAUAUUGGACAAUGGGCGAAAGCCUGAUCCAGCCAUGCCGCGUGUGUGAAGAAGGUCUUCGGAUUGUAAAGCACUUUAAGUUGGGAGGAAGGGCAGUAAGUUAAUACCUUGCUGUUUUGACGUUACCAACAGAAUAAGCACCGGCUAACUUCGUG